Triticum dicoccoides is the source of this 760-nucleotide long non-coding RNA. RefSeq lists it as uncharacterized. The transcript is spliced from 2 exons. The record is from RefSeq and is a predicted model, not a curated record. Lineage: Eukaryota; Viridiplantae; Streptophyta; Magnoliopsida; Poales; Poaceae.
UGCGACGCGGCCGUCCCAUUCCUCUCCCGGCCCCCGCCUAUCCGCCCGCUCCAAGCGGCCAUCGUCCCAUCCUUCCUACCGGCAACGCGCCCACUAUUGCGCUCUUCCAGCAGCCUCCCGGUGACGCGCGCCACACCUAGCAUGUGUCCGGCCAUCCUUGUCCUCCUGACGUCGUGCGCCGCGCCCGGACUUGACCAAGGUAGGCUCCCGGGUCUACGCUCCUGCGGCCGACGGUGAAGGAGCGCCAGGUGGACUCGUAGGCCCCAUCGUGCUCCACCGAGAAAGUCCAUGCGUGAUUCGGCUGCUGGGAAAGACCGUGCGUCGUGGAUGCAUAUGACACGAGCUUGAUUAGCUAUAAGAAGCAGUUGUUCCUUUGAACUUGAUCUCUGAAUGCCUCAGGUCUGCUUGCUCGUUUUUCUUGAACAUACAUUUUUUCAGAUUUUCCACUUCAAUUACCUUCUGAGAAUGCAAAGCUUGCCUCUCAACCAAACUGGUUCAGAUUUGUUAUGUUCGUGUGUCGUCGGCGCAUCCAGCACGCCAGUCUACAGCUGUUAAUCCCCUUGAUGCAUGUAUCUUGAUGCUUCAACAGCGUAUUUUCUUUCUUGCUUUAGAUCUUGAUGCGUCAUGACCUUCAGCGUUGUGUGUAGCAGUUUACAUCUUAAGUAAAUUAUCAAAUACCAAUUGUAGUUGCACAUAUAGUAGUUCUCGGUUGUAUAUUGUCAUCGAAAAGUUGCACAACACUGUGAUACUAAGUUGGCUA